RNAcentral lists this long non-coding RNA (1421 nucleotides) under Salvia miltiorrhiza (redroot sage). RNAcentral describes it as "long non-coding RNA (SMIL_LNC010332)". Lineage: Eukaryota; Viridiplantae; Streptophyta; Magnoliopsida; Lamiales; Lamiaceae. The record is from RNAcentral.
GGAGAGUUCCGAGGAGAAACAGUUUAUUCUCUUAAGUUAAGGCAGUGCAGAAAGAGUGAAUUGAAUAAGAUUUUGAUUAUGAGAUGAGAUAUGAAUUAAAGAUGCCUAUAUGUGGCUUAGUGAAGAUGAAUUGAGCUUAUACAUGAAAAAUGUAAUAAAAUGGCAUAACUUGUUUAUGUGAGUUAAUUUUUGAAUAAUUGGUUUAAGAAUGAUUUAUAAAAUAGAUUUUUGGGAAAUUUCCCCGACUAAAAAUAUUUUAUUUUUCAAAAAUGAGUUUGUUUAUGUGAUUGCUAUGUGCUUAUGGAUUGUUUAUCUAUGAGUUGUUCCUUGACAGAGUUUAGACCUACAUUAGGAGAUAAGUCAAGAAUAAAGUAGUGAUUACUUAGAAAGUGUUUACGAUAUGAGAUCGAGUGAGACGGAGUGUAGAAAUGAGAAGUAAUGUAAUAUUACUAAGAUAGAAUGAUAUUCUUAGUAAGAAAGUUUCUGACCGAUUCCUUUUGUUUUACCCCAUGAACUAUAUUCGAUGUUAUGAUAUCUGAAGAUGCGAGUAGAGGACGGAAGUGAGUCCACCCCGAACGCUACGAGAGUAAGCUAGGACAUCAGGUGGGCAUUAUUUUUACUAUACGUAUAUAGAGAUCCCCUGCGUAUCGUAGGCCUCUUAUAUGAAAUGAAAUAAAUGAUGUGAUUUAACUGUCAAUUUCAGUUUGAUGAAAAUUAUUACUGUUGAUGAUGUUUAUGAGUCUGAUAAAUAUUUUGAGAUUUAUUGAUGUUGAACUAAUUGACUUGCCAAGUUUUGAUGACGACGAGCCUGUAUGUCACCCUCUACUGAUGAGACGAAUUCGGGUCCUGCCACAAGCGGGAUUGUGUACACAGAGGUGACUGCGAGCUGUCCUUCGGGUCGGCCGGUCACGGUACUUGAGAAGGAGGCCUACUUCUCAGUACCUUAAAUGAUGAUGAUUUGUAGAUGUGGUACAUACGUAACGAGAAUUUUGACCGAUCAUUUAUUUAUGAUGUUUAUGAUUGUUAACUGCUUACACGGGUUCUUUUGAGUAAAAUCCCCGUGUAUUGCUUAUGUGGCAAGUUCAAUCUAUAGCUCUAAGAGCUAGUUUUCAUUGAUUUUCGGCAUAUGUCCACUGAGUAUUUUGUACUCAGCCCUGCAUGUAUUUCUAAACGUGCAGGAUAAGCGAGGAGGGAGAUUGGACUGGUGCUGGUAGGGAUUUUGUUUCGGAUGAUCGUCAUUGUACCAUAAUUAUAUUCCUUGCAGUAACAUCAAGAUGUUGAGGUUUAUUUUGAACUUAAUCAAGAAAUUUACUCCCGGCUAUAUGUCUUCAUACAUAUAGUCUGUUCGAAUUUUGCUGCGAUACUCUGUAUAUCCCAAGUCAUUGUGAGUAAUUAGCUAUGUCUACUUUGUAAAGGUUGAC